Molecule: ribosomal RNA, 340 nt
Filed under: uncultured Pseudomonadota bacterium
Lineage: Bacteria; Pseudomonadati; Pseudomonadota
Description: bacterial SSU rRNA
Rfam family: Bacterial small subunit ribosomal RNA
Source: RNAcentral
AACAAACGCUGGCGGCGUGCCUAACACAUGCAAGUUGCGCGAGAAAGUCCCCUUCGGGGGAUGAGUAAAGCGGCGAAAGGGUGAGUAACACGUGGGUAAUCUGCCCUUGGGACUGGGAUAACUCGCCGAAAGGUGGGCUAAUACCGGUUAAGACCACGCGGACUAAUGUCCGUGCGGUAAAAGAUGGCCUCUCGACGAAGCUAUUACCUGAGGAUGAGCCCGCGGCCUAUUAGCUAGUUGGUAGGGUAACGGCCUACCAAGGCGAUGAUGGGUAGCCGGCCUGAGAGGGUGUACGGCCACACUGGAACUGAGACACGGUCCAGACUCCUACGGGAGGCUG